AGAACUGUAGCCUAAUGUAUAACCAAGCUAACACACACACACACACACACACACACACACACACACACACACACACACACCACACACAUUAAAUCAAGAAAUACUCAGAGGAAAGCUCCAAGUCUUAUAGCAGAAUGGAAGGGAACAUGGAACACAGUUCAGUUUCCAGUCUGGAUCUCGUCUGGGUAGAUGAGGUCAUUUGCCAUCUGGUAGACCCUGUGAAAUGAAACCGUGAGCUAAUUCCCAUUUCUAGAGGACAGGCUCUUAUCACAGAAGGCCCACUAUCACCCAGACUGCCCUUUACUGAAAUGGCUUAUGAAAGGGCGGUGAUCAAUGGGGUCUACAGCUAAGCAGCUAUCUCUUUGCUUCAGAAGUAGCCCCCAGGGAUGGAUUUUACACAUACCAAUAACAUACUUGUCCUUGGUUCUUUCCAUUUUUAGGCACUCAGUUAUUCAGACAAAUCAAAAUUGCUUAGUGGUAAUAGUACUAUUACUAUUAACUGGUAACUAUCUGGUUGGAGUGUUUAUGCCAAGGACUAUCAGUGUUUUCCAUAGUAUUAGAACUAGAGUUCUUGGCAUUUUGGGGUCUAAUCAUAUUAAGCAGCCAACUUCCCCAAAACCAACAAAAGAACUCCAUCCUUAAUAUUCAGUUCCUCUAGAACCAUUCCUGCUACAAAAAUCUGUAUUAGUCAGCAUUCUCUAGAGAGAUAGAACUAAUAGGACAUAUACACAUAAUACUUAAUAGUUUAUUAAGUAUUAACUUACACAAUCACAGGUUCCACAAUAGGCUGUCCACAAGCUUGAGGAACAAAAAGAGCCAGUCCGAGUCUCAAAAUUGAAGAACUUGGAGUCCAGUGUUCGAGGGCAGGAAGCAUCCAGCAUGGAAGAAAGAUGUAGGCUAAGAGGCUAGGCCGGUCUUGCCAGCUUUGCUGGAAGCUGAUUAGAUUGUGCCCAUCAGAUUAAGGGUGGAUCUGCCUUCCCCAGCUCACUGACUCAAAUGUUAAUCCCUUUUGGCACACACACACCCAGGAUUAAUACUUUGUAUCCCCCAAUCCAAUCAAGUUGACACUUAGCAUUAACUAUCACACUCAUGCUAUGGUGAAUGUGGAUAUAAUUGUGUUGACCACAAGACAGAAUAUUUGCAGUCAGGUCUGUCUUAGAAACAUGAUACCUAUUAUAAAAGAGAAUUUCCGUAACCUGUAGGGUGAAGUGUCAGUACAAUUUCUGCUUUGCAAAUACUAGGAUUAUGGAAGAUUAAAUGUGUGAAAGGACUUUGAAAAAUUAAAACAUAUCAUUAAUCAACAAGUCAUUCCUUAAAACCUCUUAUUCACCUACUAUAUACUCUUUGGACAGCUGUGUAGGGUCUUAAGUAUAGAAUGACAAGGAGUGAUUAUCUCUUAAAUAAUAUUGUCAUCCGUAUCCCAGAACUUGAUCCAACGGAAGAACUCUCAUGGGAGUCAGUGAAUUUAUGAUCAAAUGAUUGGUAAAACUUUUGGGGGGAGACAACCAGCUCUUGGAAACCAGGCAUUUUUUUUUCUCUCUUUUUCUGUCAUUGUAGUCCCAGCCUUUAACAUAAUGCCUGGCAUAUAAUGAGUCUUCAAUAAGUACUUGUUGAAUGAAUGAGAAUAUCUACAUAAAGAUUUUGUGUUUCUUCUAAAAUAAGCCUACCUCAAGAGUUUCUAACCAUUUGGAGUUACUGAAAAGGAAUAGCUGCAAGUCAUAAAUAUCAAUUCCUCCUGCCACAAUUUGUAGGCCUGUAACUAAUUCAUUUCUAUCUUCUUGUACUAAUCAGAUCUCUUAAAGCAUACUCAGGAUUUCAGAGCUAGAAGGAAAACUUAAGAAUUAUCAAAAGGAAUUCCAGAGUGGUUGUGUGAUUUGCCCAAGGCCAUGGGAAAAUCAGUGGAGGAAAUAAAUGUUAUAAUUACUAUACCUUGGUAAGUGCUAAAAUAUUCUCUGUAUCUUACACAUGCUUCUGAUCACACAAUAUUGCAAUCAUUUUUCCACAUGCAAGUCUCCCUGACUAGGUUUUACCUUUUUGAGGCUAAGAACAUAACUUAUCUUGGUAUCCACAGAAUUGAAAACUGUAUCUCAGACAUAUGAAAGCUAAAUAAAUAUUUGUUGAAUGUUGGGUAGGCAAAGUUCUAUUUUAAUUGUAUGUAGUAUGAAGAAAUUUGACCAAGUCUGGCUAAUAGACUAUUAAUUAUAGGAAUGGACAGAAAUGAUAAGUAAGGGCAGAAGGGCUUCAGGUAUCUGACAUACACAUCUUUAAUUUCUGUUUCCCCUUUGAAUACAGAGCAACAUCUCCUGACCUUUCCAGAACAGCUGACCAGAUGUGGAGAUGCAAUGAUGCCCAUAUUUGAAAACAGUAUAGUACCAUGACAGGCAGGCAGGCCCAGGCUAUUUAUUUGUUGUGAGCUCUUUGGCAUGUCAUAACUUCUAGGCUUGAUCCAGUUUAUAGAAGAGAAAGUUAAACUAUAUUCAUUCAUUCCCUCAUUUAUUAAAUAAUAUUGUGUUUCUACCAUAUGCCUAGCAUUGUGUUCAGGACCCAGGAAGCAAGGAACAAUGAAUGAGAUGUGAUCCUCAACUCCAUGAAACUUAUAUCUGUUGGGAGAGGGAGAAACACACAUAAAAUUUCAGUGCAGAUUUGGAGAAGUAUUAUGGGCUGUGGAGAUUGGAUUUUAUCCUGAAAGCAUUGAGGAAGUCUUUAAAAGGUAAAUUAGAGGAAUAACUCCAUCAGAUAUGUGUGCCAGUGGAUCACCCUGGCUUCAGUGUGGCAUGGGUUAAAGUAGCCAUAGGUUGUAGGAAGAGGGACCAAUUAGCAGACUGUUGCUUGGUUUGAGUAAGUGGCACAGCCAGAGGAUGAUGAAGAGACCUCAGGUUUCUGCCUGCCUUAAGUUUCUAUGAUUGGCCACCCUCCUGUGUCUGUGCAGACAGUCUGAAUGCAGAUUCUCCAACAGAAGGUUUGUGGUUCAAGAUUGCCUCACAAUUGCUGGUAAAGAGAGCUGAGGAUGAUCCCAGAUGGCACUUCAACUUUCUCUAAUUUUGAACCUUGCUGUGCACCUGAAUACCACAUACUGACUUGAGCAAAACAGUAGUGUUAUUGUUAGGGCUGAAGCAAGCUGUUUGUCGAGACUCCAUAAUGCAUAUUGGUGACAACAGGAAUUAAACUCUCCACCUGCAGGACAGCCAGCCAGUGGGGUGUAGAAUAAGUGUGCUGGCAGAGACUUUAGUAUGUAAAAGUGCCGCAGGAAAAGGGGGCAAGCUUUAUUCUAGAAGAGUCCCAUUCAAACCAUAGCAGAUAAAGAUAUUAUAAUUAGAACCAGAACCAAGAAUAAAUACUAGAGUAAGAAAUGACACCAGUUUGCUUCUUCCCAGUAUCAGAGAGUGUCUCUUUCUGGCUAUAUGGACAUGAAAUUUUGACUGGGUUCCAGAAAGGCAAGAAAGGGUGGUUUGUCAUGGGCUUUUCAAUGCCUACGAAGGACUCAAAGUUAUUUGAGAUAUUACAUUUGAAUAUGAUUUGAUGUGCUGUUUGAUAAAAGAACAUCAAUGGGCAAAAGAAUCACUUAGUCAAAAAUAAGUUCUUCUGACUAGGACUUAUGACAACUAGGGAAGAGUAGUAACCAGGCUUUUUUCUGGAAUAAGAACUAUGGUGUCCCUCUAUGAUGAGCAAGAUCAGGUCCUCCAAGGAGUUAUACAUCGCAAUACUGACUGGUCUGACAAGUAAAAGACCAUUCUUAGUACCCCCACAGAGCAUGCUGAUGGUAUCUCAAUCUUUAGAAGGUUUAAAGGAUGGGAUGGCGCCAGACCUUACUUUAUAUCUCUUUCAGGGUUUUGUGCCAACCUAUGAACACCAAAACUCAGCACUAUUUUAUGCAAACUAUGCCUGUAGACCAUAUUUAAGAGUAUGGAAUGACUUCUCUCUGGAAAGAGUUUCCUCGCCUCAUCCCCAGUAUAACAUGUCGAAAAGAAAUAAGGAAGAAGAAAUCCAGGAUGCUAGUUUUGAAAAUGAAAUUUUGUUCCCUUCCCAAUUUUAAAUGCAGGUAUACUCAUUGUCUUCUCGAAAUGACAAAAGGAAAAAAAAAAGAGGAAAGUUACAAUUAUUCAUAAAUCUACCAAUAAAAUGUAAUUACUGUUGGUACAUGAAUGUAUUUUCAUACAAUCAACACGUGUAUACACGACAUUUAAAUGUACUUCCUUCUAGUUUUUUAUUCAUCUAUGUUGGAUAUGUGGGGUUUAUGUGUACAUUGAUUUAGCAGUGCACGUGAUCAGUGGUUUAAAGGAGGGGAUGGCUUUGCUGUUAGAUCCCAGUUAUAAAGACUUAUCUUGUUUAAUAGUUUGAAACCAAAAUCUAUUUCAAUUAGAGUUGGAAUAAUUAGGAAAUAGUCUUGAUACUUACGCUAAAUUAUCCAUUUACUAAUCCAGAAGAUAUAUUCAUCCCUCUAGUAGCUUAAAAACCCCUUUCUUUCCCUGCUGUUUACAACCCUUAGCACUUUUCAAUUGUGGCAUGCUUCCAUCUCUUUCAUCCCCCACCUAUAUGCUCAGACACAGAAUGUGUUCAGGCAAUUUUUAAGUUUUGUAAAUCAUUCCCAAUAGUCCCUUAAUCCUUCUUGCCACUUUUCUCUAAAUCCCUUUCAGUCGAUCAGUAGCUACUUGGAGGGUAUGGCCUGCGAUAACCUGACACAGGCUUCCAGGACACUGUUAGAGGUGAUCGCCAUCUUCAUGGGCAGUGGGGCAGUCCUUUGUACAUAUGCAGCCUCACGUUUGCCUUUAUUUUCCCGGCUUCUGCUCCGUGAUGCAAUUUCCUGUCCAUAAAUGGUGCAGAUCUAAUUCCCUGACCACCAUAUAGUAAAGGUUUACUUUGACAUAUUGUCCUUCCUAAAAAGAAAUUUUACUGCACAGUUAUAAUUAUCACAUUUUUCUUAAUUAGCAACCUCUUCUGAUUUCUUUUUCAUCUUCUAGUUUUAUAAAACAUUUUCUUUAUCUUAUUUUAACCCAACUUACUGAAUUCUAUGACUAUUUUCUUAGUUCCUUUUUUUUGUACUUGAUAAGAUCUCUGAGCUACUCUUUACUGCUUAGAUUUUUCAAGUAUAUGGUAUUAUAUCUUGAUUUUGGUGUAAUCUCAGAACUCCAGCUAUUCUUCCAGUCUAUGGGUAGAAUAAUUAUGUCAUUAGAGACAUUGGAGCCUGCCUCUCCCAUGACGGCCAGCUGGCAGGGGAUAUAUAUUAUAUGUCUUGGUUGAUGGCUUUCAAGUAAAAGGGUGAAUCUGCGAAGACCAGUACUCCUUGCCAACAAGCUCUUUAUAAAAUCAACUAUUUCAUUUUGCCGCCUGAGCUCUCCUUUGGCCGUUAGAUUGAACAAUCACUGGAUGUUUCCUAAAUUUGUCAUCACCCCAAACGGAGACUCUGUAAUAUUAAGUAAUAACUCCUUAUUCUCCUCUUCUACCAGUCCCUGGUAACUUCAAUUCUACUUUCUGUCUCUAUGAAUUUGGCUGUUCUAGCUAUUUCCUAUAAGUGGAAUCAUUCAAUAUUUGUCAUCUUGUGUCUGACUAAUUUUAUUUAGCAUAAUGUUUUUUAAGGUUCAUCUGUGUUGUAGCAUGUAUCAGAACUUUGUUCCUCUUUAACACUGAAUAAUAUUCCAUUGUAUGGCUAUACCGUACUUUGUUUUUCCAUUCAUUAGAUGAUGGACACUAGGGUUAUUUUCACCUUUUGCCUAUUAAAAAUAAUGCUGCGAUGAACACUGGUGUUCCCAUUCAUUUUGUAAAGUAACCCCCUCUUUUUUCUUCCUUCUCAGCCACAUGGCAGCACUUGAGUCUCCAACUCUCAUAUCCAUGGAGGCCGUGCUACUUCCAGCCGUUCCCACCUCCACACACAAAAGUAAAAUAGAAAUUUCUUUAUAAGGGAGAAAAGAAGCUAUUAAUUGCCCUAAUUGUAUUUCUUUGUUUAAAAAUUAUAUAUGUUUUUGAAAAAUAUAGAAAAAAUAAGAGAGGGGAAGUGUUCCCAUACUCCUACCACUUUGGUGUAAGUAAUGAUAUAAUUUUGGUUUAUUUCUGUCAGUUUUUUUGCAUUGCAUUCUUUUUCAGACCUAAAUGUGAGCAUGUUAUGGUUCAGAAGUCUAAGUCUGUUUUUGUUUUUGUUUUGCUGAAAUUAAAAUAGCCAUUAAGAUUUCCUUUGGUCAGUGUUUGCCUUUUAUAUCUUUUUUCAUCCUAUAAUUUUCAGUCUUUCUGUGUACUUAUAUUUCAUAUAUGUCCAAGUCUGCUCCUAAUAUUUGCAGAGCCUGAGGCAAGAGUACAAAUAGAGGCCCACAUGCAUUCUAAUUGCUUUAUUCAGUAAUUAUAUCUUCAUUUAGGAAAGAUUUUCAAAUUACAAAGGCCUCAUCUGACCGAUUCCAGUUACAAAUUAGAUCAGAAUAAUUCUCUUGCUCAUUUUUAUUAUUUUGGCUAGUAAUUAAAUCCUCAUUAAAUAUAAAAUGUGUUGUUUGAAAAUUUUUUAUGAUGAAUGCUUGACAGAGAUUUACCCACUUUCAUUAUUUCUAGUUUUUAAAAAUGUCAGUAGACUGCUUAUUUGUGUAUUUUAUUUUUUUGGCUUUUUUCCUCCUAAGAUUUUUUUUCAUAGGUUCUCUUUUAUCAUAAUCUCAAAUUCUUCUCAUUCUAUUUCCCCUCCCACCAUACACACUGUGAAGCAGUGACUAGCUCCUUCUUAGCUGCGGUAAAACCUGCAAAUCUUUACGGCAUUUGAACACAGUGACCAUUUGUUUCAAGGAUUUAGGGCAAGGAAAUGUGGAGAAGUACUUUUUCUGGAAUGUGAAUGGUAUUAGACACAACCGUGGAUGUUUAGGAUUAUAGAUCAUGCUGUGACAGAAUGACAAAGGUGUCAAUGUGGUCUUUAAUAUAAUUUGUGUGUUGGUGGUAUGAUGUGCCAUUUAAAGCAGCGCUUCUCAAACAUUAAUGGUACAUAUGCAUCACCCGGAGAAGCUUCUUAAAAUGCAGAUUCUGAAUCUUUAGAUCUCGGAUGGGGCCUAACAGUCAGCAUUUCUAACAGGUGCCUGAGUGAUGCUGUUGCUGUUGGUCCGAGAUCCAUCUCUUGAGUUGUAAGACUCUGAAGCAUAGGACCAAGAUCAGGGGUCUCUCUCAUCUGAUAUUAAGAGUAGUACUCUGUAUGUCCUAUAUGAAUACACUAUAGCUGGAAUUGAUUUUUAAUUUGAAAUUAUAAUCAUCG
RNAcentral lists this long non-coding RNA (7213 nucleotides) under Homo sapiens (human). RNAcentral describes it as "HSALNT0293275". Lineage: Eukaryota; Metazoa; Chordata; Mammalia; Primates; Hominidae. The record is from RNAcentral.